RNA transcript from Mus pahari (shrew mouse), 3209 nucleotides. It is a transcript of the gene named RNA binding motif protein X-linked, with no coding region annotated. The transcript is spliced from 10 exons. Lineage: Eukaryota; Metazoa; Chordata; Mammalia; Rodentia; Muridae. The record is from RefSeq and is a predicted model, not a curated record.
GGUUCUUCAGCCUCGUUCCCGGGUAGUAUAAAGAUUGCAGUCUCCUUUGUUCGCCCUCGUUGCGCAGUCGUCCUAGCGUCAUUUCUGUUCCGUUCUGAAAAUCGGUAGCUGUCACUGGUGCGGCGCUGCUCGGGAGGUCCCGUCGGCGAGCUCAUUGGAGCUUGAGACCGUCGCAGUCCCCUCGGACGCCCAUCGGUUAAGAGGAAAAAUGGUUGAAGCAGAUCGUCCAGGAAAGCUCUUUAUUGGUGGGCUUAAUACAGAGACGAAUGAGAAAGCCCUUGAGGCAGUGUUUGGCAAAUAUGGACGAAUAGUGGAAGUGCUUUUGAUGAAGGACCGAGAAACGAAUAAGUCAAGAGGAUUCGCUUUUGUCACUUUUGAAAGCCCAGCAGAUGCAAAGGAUGCUGCCAGAGACAUGAAUGGAAAGUCCUUAGAUGGGAAAGCCAUCAAGGUGGAGCAAGCCACCAAACCAUCUUUUGAAAGUGGUAGACGUGGACUACCUCCACCUCCAAGAAGCAGAGGCCCUCCCAGAGGUCUUCGGGGAGGAAGAGGAGGAAGUGGAGGAACCAGAGGACCCCCCUCACGGGGAGGACACAUGGAUGACGGUGGCUACUCCAUGAAUUUUACUAUGAGUUCUUCCAGAGGACCUCUGCCAGUGAAAAGAGGACCACCACCACGAAGUGGAGGUCCUCCUCCUAAAAGAUCAGCACCUUCAGGACCAGUUCGUAGCAGCAGUGGACUGGGAGGAAGAGCCCCUGUGUCACGUGGAAGAGAUGGUUACGGAGGCCCGCCACGAAGGGAGCCCCUGCCUUCUCGAAGAGAUGUUUAUUUGUCCCCGAGAGAUGAUGGAUAUUCCACUAAAGACAGCUAUUCAAGCAGAGAAUAUCCAAGUUCUCGAGAUACACGAGAUUAUGCACCACCACCAAGAGAUUAUACUUACCGUGAUUAUGGUCAUUCCAGUUCACGAGAUGACUAUCCAUCAAGAGGCUAUAGUGAUAGAGAUGGAUAUGGUCGGGAUCGUGAUUAUUCAGAUCAUCCAAGUGGAGGUUCCUACAGAGAUUCGUAUGAGAGUUAUGGUUGAAUCUAAUGGUCAUACUGUCAUGGAGUGCUGAUUGAUUCACAGUAGAUAAAGCUGGCAGUAAGGAACAAUCAAAUGCUCAGAGUUGUUGAAGCAGAGGAACGCUGAGACUAAGCCACAGCAGUUGCUUACCCAGUGCGCAUCAGAAGUGGUUUGGUACAGGCAAUAGAUUUUUUUUUUUGUCUUCAAGGGAGGGAGGCUGAUUAAACCUAAUCAGUGCUGGUUAAACCUUAAUUAGGGAGUGGCAGUCACUUAAAACUGACCCAAUGGAAAGAGGGAGACUAAUUGUUAACUGGAGGUACCUACCCAAGAAGUCCGGUGACUCUUUUUAGACAUUCAGUAGUUCGGGCAAAGUCAUGGGGCAACUCUGCAAUUUAGAGCUGAUGAUCACUGAGGAGAAGCAAAUUGAAUUAGCUGGGACUGUAAGUCCAUGGGGAGUGGUUGCCUAAGCACCAGUGAGGCUGAGAGUUCAACCCCUGGCAAAACGCAAACAUUUCAAUUAGAAAAAUUACACCUCACUGAUGUCUGAUUUUCAGCAAGGAACCCAAUUUGAUGAAUUGCCUCAUCAGUAGGAAACAUAAUCAUAUAAAACUGAGAGAGGGGGAAGAAUGGUGCUAGGAAAUGAAAGUAAAAACAGGAAACAUUGUUAGGCUAGUUAGAAAAGCAUAUUGGGAACAAAAAUAGGUCACUAGGUCACUGUAGUUUUAUAAAAGGUACUUUACCCUCAGGGCUCCAUCUUGGAAACAAAUCAUGACACAACAACUCUAGUUUACUGCUUUGGAAACUAAGAGCCAGUAAUGUAAAUGCAGAUAAUCUCAACAGAAGCAGGUUGAGUUUUAGAGUCAAAGAAUUUAACUCAACUUCUGAGAUUUUUCUUAUGAAUUUGUUACAAUACUGUUGAGGGGAUUUCAAGCCUUCCAUACUCUAAUCAGGCCUGGGGAAGGUUCUUCGGUCAAGACCUUUAGGCUCUUGACAUUUUAUGUACAUUUUUAGUUUGUCAUGGGCAAUAAAUACUACACUAAAUAUGAAUGUUAAAUUCAAAGUGGGAAGUUGGUAGAAGAAUUUCAAGAGACCUUUUUGACAAAUGGUAGACUAUAGAACUAGCAGGCUUACAGUCUGCAAUUAGAAAAAAAAUUAGCCUUGAUUUUUCUGGCUAAGCUCUGGAUGUAGAAGAAUUUGAAUAAUACAGAAAGUGCCGUGGUUUAUUUGGUAGCUGGAUGUAGAACAUUAUAGAUCGUUUUUUUGGAAUGUUUUGUACUGAAACCCAAUAAAACUUGAAUGUGUGUCUUUGUGGUGUUGGGUUCUUUUUUAAAGCCCUUUUUGUAAGUAGAAAUUCAUUUUAGCCUUUUCAGGUUUCUUUUUCCACAUAAUUUUCCUCCCCAAACUUCAGUUCUGGGGCACUGUUGGUAUUUAGGUACAGGGACAGCCAGGGCCCCUGAGAGGUCUGACCACUGGCCUUCCUCUAGGACCAGUUAAAGCCUUAGAUAAACUUGGUAAACAGAUGCUUCCCUUUGGAGUUAGUUAGAUUCCCCAAGGAAGGCUCCCAGCAGACACUUACCUUGAUGGGUAUACCCAGUGACUCGGUGUAAGAUUGGGUUUUUCAGUGUGACCUCUGGGACUGCCCGUGUAACGUGCAUGCAUAUUCCAUGAUCCAGCUGGCCUUCAGAUCUGCCGUUUCUUGCUAAUUCUGCUUUCUGUCUAGGUUGAAGUAGGGGAUGGUUUUCCAGUGAGAUUCAGUUUCAGCAUUAUUACUUGUGGGAACUUUGGAGAAAUUAACCUAUAGUUGAUCUCUCACUUGUAAAGAAGGUUGGUAAUAUGUAUCCCAGAGGUGGGAGAGAUUGAGUUCACGAACCUGCCUCAGAAAGUAAAAGCUACAUAAUUAUUAAAUGAUAUUAUUUUCCAUCAAUUUCCUCCUGUGUUAUCUUCAGGCCUAGGCUUUGGGACCCAAUUAGUUUCCCCUUUUGUUAGGGACUGAAAGUUCUUACAAGCUGAUUUUUUUCUCCUAGGUUAGUCAUAGUUAAUUUUCACUUUCCUCCAUUAGCAACUAUUUUAAUACCAUGUAUGUCCUUAUGUAUAAGAUCUUAUUAAUUAAGGGAUUUGUUGUUUGACAAGGGUCUCUUUACAUAGUCUGGCU